UGGGGAAUAUUGCACAAUGGGCGCAAGCCUGAUGCAGCCAUGCCGCGUGUAUGAAGAAGGUCUUCGGGUUGUAAAGUACUUUCAGCGGGGAGGAAGGGAGUAAAGUUAAUACCUUUGCUCAUUGACGUUACCCGCAGAAAAAGCACCGGCUAACUCCGUGCCAGCAGCCGCGGUAGUACGGAGGGUGCAAGCGUUAAUCGGAAUUACUGGGCGUAAAGCGCACGCAGGCGGUUGAUUGAGUCAGAUGUGAAAUCCCCGGGCUUAACCCGGGAAUUGCAUCUGAUACUGGUCAGCUAGAGUCUUGUAGAGGGGGGUAGAAUUCCAUGUGUAGCGGUGAAAUGCGUAGAGAUGUGGAGGAAUACCGGUGGCGAAGGCGGCCCCCUGGACAAAGACUGACGCUCAGGUGCGAAAGCGUGGGGAGCAAACAGG
This 429-nucleotide ribosomal RNA is filed under the name Chloroflexota bacterium. RNAcentral describes it as "Chloroflexi bacterium partial 16S ribosomal RNA". It matches the Rfam family "Bacterial small subunit ribosomal RNA", at positions 355 to 776 of the family's 1533-position model. Lineage: Bacteria; Bacillati; Chloroflexota. The record is from RNAcentral.